RNAcentral lists this ribosomal RNA (559 nucleotides) under Saccharomyces cerevisiae (brewer's yeast). RNAcentral describes it as "eukaryotic LSU rRNA". It matches the Rfam family "Eukaryotic large subunit ribosomal RNA", at positions 83 to 657 of the family's 3401-position model. Lineage: Eukaryota; Fungi; Ascomycota; Saccharomycetes; Saccharomycetales; Saccharomycetaceae. The record is from RNAcentral.
GUACGGCGAGUGAGCGGCAAAAGCUCAAAUUUGAAAUCUGGUACCUUCGGUGCCCGAGUUGUAAUUUGGAGAGGGCAACUUUGGGGCCGUUCCUUGUCUAUGUUCCUUGGAACAGGACGUCAUAGAGGGUGAGAAUCCCGUGUGGCGAGGAGUGCGGUUCUUUGUAAAGUGCCCUCGAAGAGUCGAGUUGUUUGGGAAUGCAGCUCUAAGUGGGUGGUAAAUUCCAUCUAAAGCUAAAUAUUGGCGAGAGACCGAUAGCGAACAAGUACAGUGAUGGAAAGAUGAAAAGAACUUUGAAAAGAGAGUGAAAAAGUACGUGAAAUUGUUGAAAGGGAAGGGCAUUUGAUCAGACAUGGUGUUUUGUGCCCUCUGCUCCUUGUGGGUAGGGGAAUCUCGCAUUUCACUGGGCCAGCAUCAGUUUUGGUGGCAGGAUAAAUCCAUAGGAAUGUAGCUUGCCUCGGUAAGUAUUAUAGCCUGUUGGGAAUACUGCCAGCUGGGACUGAGGACUGCGACGUAAGUCAAGGAUGCUGGCAUAAUGGUUAUAUGCCGCCCGUCUUGA